GAUGAACGCUAGCUACAGGCUUAACACAUGCAAGUCGAGGGGUAACGAGAGGAAAGCUUGCUUUCCUUGUCGACGACCGGCGCACGGGUGAGUAACGCGUAUCCAACCUGCCCCCAACUAGGGAAUAACCUUGCGAAAGUAGGACUAAUACCCUAUAAUUUCCUCAGAUGUCAUCUGACGAGGAAUAAAGAUUUAUCGGUUGUGGAUGGGGAUGCGUCUGAUUAGCUUGUUGGCGGGGUAACGGCCCACCAAGGCAACGAUCAGUAGGGGUUCUGACAGGAACGUCCCCCACAUUGGAACUGAGACACGGUACAAACUCCUACGGGAGGCAGCAGUGAGGAAUAGUGGUCAAUGGGCUGAAGCCUGAACCAGCCAAGUAGCGUGCAGGAUGACGGCCCUAUGGGUUGUAAACUGCUUUUAUACAGGAAUAAAGUGAGCCACGUGUGGUUAUUUGUAGGUACUGUAUGAAUAAGGACCGGCUAAUUCCGUGCCAGCAGCCGCAGUAA
Molecule: ribosomal RNA, 506 nt
Filed under: uncultured bacterium
Lineage: Bacteria
Description: partial 16S ribosomal RNA
Rfam family: Bacterial small subunit ribosomal RNA
Source: RNAcentral